GACGGGGAGCACUACAACGGGUGGAGCCUGCGGUUUAAUUGGACUCAACGCCGGAAACUCACCGGGGCGACAGCAAUAUGUAGGUCAAGCUAAAGACUUACCAGAAUCGCUGAGAGGAGGUGCAUGGCCGUCGUCAGUUCGUACUGUGAAGCAUCCUGUUAAGUCAGGCAACGAGCGAGACCCGUGCCCACUGUUGCCAGCAUGUCCUUCGGGAUGAUGGGUACUCUGUGGGGACCGCCGAUGCUAAAUCGGAGGAAGGUGCGGGCUACGGUAGGUCAGUAUGCCCCGAAUCUCCCGGGCUACACGCGGGCUACAAUGACUGGGACAAUGGGCUCCUACCCCGAAAGGGGAUGGUAAUCUCAUAAACCCAGCCUUAGUUCGGAUCGAGGGCUGUAACCCGCCCUCGUGAAGCUGGAAUCCGUAGUAAUCGCGUUUCAACAUAGCGCGGUGAAUACGUCCCUGCUCCUU
RNAcentral lists this ribosomal RNA (468 nucleotides) under uncultured Methanomethylovorans sp. Its description in RNAcentral is "bacterial SSU rRNA". It matches the Rfam family "Archaeal small subunit ribosomal RNA", at positions 871 to 1337 of the family's 1478-position model. Lineage: Archaea; Methanobacteriati; Methanobacteriota; Methanomicrobia; Methanosarcinales; Methanosarcinaceae. The record is from RNAcentral.